AGGAUCAAAUGAGACGACGUGAGUCGGGAGUAGGGAAGGGCUACGUGCUUAGACACCUCCCAUGCUCGGCUCAGUUGGCCGGCAACAGCUUAAAUGACAGCACUUCUCAGAUAAGCCCCAGAGAUCACCACCUUAAAAUCCUCACGGGGGAUUGAAGUCUGACAUCCCAGUGUCCAGACAACUCGCACUACCAUUUCAUCUGCACAAACAGCUCAUCGUCAGCAUUUCUAGCUUUAGAAAACAAUUAGUAGACAAUUGCCAAGAAUUAAGAUUUACAGAACUAUUAACAAAGACGCUUUCCUGUUCUCAGCGUUCU
This 316-nucleotide long non-coding RNA is filed under the name Mus pahari (shrew mouse). RNAcentral's name for it is "lncRNA (MGP_PahariEiJ_G0005848.1)". Lineage: Eukaryota; Metazoa; Chordata; Mammalia; Rodentia; Muridae. The record is from RNAcentral.